Molecule: unclassified non-coding RNA, 395 nt
Filed under: soil metagenome
Description: partial contains 5.8S ribosomal RNA, internal transcribed spacer 2, and large subunit ribosomal RNA
Rfam family: 5.8S ribosomal RNA (bases 1-121)
Source: RNAcentral
GAUGAAGAACGCAGCGAACGUGCGAAACGUAAUGUGAAUUGCAGGAUUCAGUGAAUCAUCGAAUCUUUGAACGCAUCUUGCGCUCCUUGGUAUUCCGAGGAGCAUGCCUGUUUGAGUGUCGUGAAUACUCUCAACUUCAACCCUUUUUUCGGAAAGGGAGGAAGGUUGGACUUGGGUGUUUGUUGAAGUGCGAGCUUCGACUCAUCCUAAAUGCAUUAGCGAUCUGCCUCGAUCACACACAAUGUGAUAAUUAAAACUAAAGCAUUGUUUAAUGAUCAAGUCGAGACUGCUUCUAACUGUCGCAAGACAAUAACGUGCAUACAUUUGUGCAUGUCAUUUGACCUCAAAUCAGGUAGGACUACCCGCUGAACUUAAGCAUAUCAAUAAGCGGAGGA